UACGGAGGAUGCGAGCGUUAUCCGGAUUUAUUGGGUUUAAAGGGUGCGUAGGCGGGAUGCCAAGUCAGCGGUAAAAAUGCGGUGCUCAACGCCGUCGAGCCGUUGAAACUGGUGUUCUUGAGUGGGCGAGAAGUAUGCGGAAUGCGUGGUGUAGCGGUGAAAUGCAUAGAUAUCACGCAGAACUCCGAUUGCGAAGGCAGCAUACCGGCGCCCUACUGACGCUGAGGCACGAAAGCGUGGGUAUCGAACAGG
RNAcentral lists this ribosomal RNA (252 nucleotides) under uncultured bacterium. RNAcentral's name for it is "partial 16S ribosomal RNA". It matches the Rfam family "Bacterial small subunit ribosomal RNA", at positions 524 to 776 of the family's 1533-position model. The record is from RNAcentral.